GAACCAGGGGUGGCAGCAUGGCAAAACAAUAUUGGAACAAUACAGAUCAGGAAAAUUAUCAGUAGCAGCCUGUUGCCCGAUCCCUCCGUCCGCUGUUCCAGCAUCAGGGAGAAGUGCUCAAUGCACUUGAUGGACAGCUUCUCUUCAAUUAUAGAAAGAGUGCCACUCCAACCCCCUCCACAAAGAGCCACACACACCUUGAUGGAUGUGCUGCAGUCGAACCGGAAGGACUUGGUCUGCCCGUUCUCCAGGUACACCUUCAGAACGUUCUGCAUGAAGAGGAGAGAGUUGUCCUUCACUGUGUUCUGGGUGGAAAGGAGACACAGAAGAAUGACAUACAAGACAUACAGUAGCCUACAUGAAGAGAACAGAGUUGUCCUUCACUGCAUUCUAGGUGGAAGCAGGACUUACAAGGAAUGACCUUAUAUUGCUUGCUAGCAUUGUUGAACUGUCUGGAUGUAGUCAGAUAAACAAGUGUAUAUCAUCACAGAAAGUAUUCAGACCCCUUGACUUUUUCCACAUUUUGUUACAUCCUUAUUCUAAAAUGUAUUAAAUUGUCCCCCCCUCAUCCAGCUA
This is a long non-coding RNA of Oncorhynchus gorbuscha (pink salmon), 576 nucleotides long. RefSeq lists it as uncharacterized. NCBI's taxonomy places the organism in Eukaryota, Metazoa, Chordata, Actinopteri, Salmoniformes, Salmonidae. The transcript is spliced from 3 exons. The record is from RefSeq and is a predicted model, not a curated record.